Sesamum indicum (sesame) is the source of this 1113-nucleotide non-coding RNA. The record is from RefSeq and is a predicted model, not a curated record. NCBI's taxonomy places the organism in Eukaryota, Viridiplantae, Streptophyta, Magnoliopsida, Lamiales, Pedaliaceae.
GGCGAGGCGAAAGGACUGAUAAUUAGCGAUCGAGUAGAAAGAAACGUUCUAAGAUCGAGUUAAGGCAAUGUUGCUGCUUUACGUAAAGCCCUUCCAUAAUCAGUGUAUCCGUCCAAUCAUCACCACAGCUCAUCAUUACAUGGAAGAUAAAGGGGUUUUCGUGCCUUUGUAAGACUCAAAAGGCUGCUACGAGGUUACCCACAAUCUCUUUGCCUUUUUCUCUUCGUCUUCACCCUUCUUCUGCAAUUCCGAAGCCAUCAAACUGCUACAAUCACGAGUCGAAAAAAUCCUAUGGCGCUAAGUAGGUACUUCUAUACCAGCACUUGGACGAAGAGAAUGGACAAUGCCUUCGUGAACAUUCUCUACUAUCACGCCUUGCUCGGUCGAAAUCAAUCCAUCCCACUUGAGCCAACGAGGAGGCGUAAAAGUUUGCUGCCGAUAACGUCCAUCGUUAUGCCGACAGGGCCUGGCCGUAUUAUUUUUUCAAAAAGUAGGCUUAGUUUGCUUCGGUUAAGGCACAACACCUUUCAAAAGGUCUUGGCAGAACUGGCGUUUACUUGGAAUGAGGACACGAACCGAAUCCUCGAUCGUUGUGAGGACUGGAAGAGUGUAAUCCAGUAAACCCCUGCUAAAGCGUAUUGUUACUAUGGCGAGCCGAAGUGGGAGCCGAUGCAGGAGAUAUUCGGUCAUGCCUGUCGAUUUCGCCUUCGGUGGGAAAAACAUGGAGGUUGACGAAGACAACGACCAUGGAUCGGGCGUUACAUUUUUGGGGUGAAAGAAGACGAAGAGCCAGAGGUAGUGGAUCUGGUCUCAAGUGAAAGCGAAAACUAAAGGUUGUUGGGAAGAAACUAUAUCCAAGUUCAUGAACGCGGGCUAGUGGUUAGUUCCUCAUGGCCUCCGUCCAUGUUGUGUAUUUAAUUACCUUUGAUGUUUUUACUUAUGUAUUACCAGUUACCAGGGUUGUAAUGUGUUUUGGAUAUAAUCAGUGUCGAAACAAUGGCACUGGCAAUCUUCCAUAAAGUGUAAUUAAAUCAGAUGCAGUAUUUUCUGUUCUUUGAUCUUUGGUUGUGGUUUUUAUUAGGAAGUUGAAUUGGUAGGAGUAAGAGAUGCAGG